GGGGGAGGCAAGCGUUGUUCGGAAUUAUUGGGCGUAAAGAGCGCGUAGGUGGCUUUUCAAGUCAUAUGUGAAAACCUCAGGCUUAACUUGAGGAUUGCAUGUGAAACUGGAAAACUUGAGUGCAGUAGAGGAAAGCGGAAUUCCUGGUGUAGCGGUGAAAUGCGCAGAUAUCAGGAAGAACACCAGUGGCGAAGGCGGCUCUCUGGGCUGCUACUGACGCUGAGGCGCGAAAGCUAGGGGGGAGCGAACAGGAUUAGAUACCCUGGUAGUCCUAGCUGUAAACGAUGGACACUAGGUGUGGGAAGUUAUCGACGCUUUCCGUGCCGAAGCUAACGCAUUAAGUGUCCCCGCCUGGGAGUACGGCCGCAAGGCUA
This 374-nucleotide ribosomal RNA is filed under the name uncultured organism. RNAcentral's name for it is "partial 16S ribosomal RNA". It matches the Rfam family "Bacterial small subunit ribosomal RNA", at positions 527 to 896 of the family's 1533-position model. The record is from RNAcentral.